CCCAUUGAUGAUGAUGAUCCGAUUUCAAACAUCAUAACCGGCCUAGAUGAGGACUUCGAGCCGAUGAUCUCUUCAAUCUGCGGCAAGACAGAAGCGGUGACUAUUGGAGAGGCCCUCUCCCAACUCCUGGACUUCGAGC
RNAcentral lists this small nucleolar RNA (139 nucleotides) under Leersia perrieri. RNAcentral's name for it is "snoRNA snoZ247". It matches the Rfam family "Small nucleolar RNA Z247". Rfam says of the family: Z247 is a member of the C/D class of snoRNA which contain the C (UGAUGA) and D (CUGA) box motifs. Most of the members of the box C/D family function in directing site-specific 2'-O-methylation of substrate RNAs. Lineage: Eukaryota; Viridiplantae; Streptophyta; Magnoliopsida; Poales; Poaceae. The record is from Rfam by way of RNAcentral.